This 252-nucleotide ribosomal RNA is filed under the name uncultured bacterium. Its description in RNAcentral is "partial 16S ribosomal RNA". It matches the Rfam family "Bacterial small subunit ribosomal RNA", at positions 524 to 775 of the family's 1533-position model. The record is from RNAcentral.
CACGUAGGGCGCAAGCGUUGUCCGGAAUCAUUGGGCGUAAAGAGCUCGUAGGUGGUCUGUUGCGUCCGCUGUGAAAACUCGGGGCUUAACCCCGAGCUUGCAGUGGAUACGGGCAGACUAGAGGUAGGUAGGGGAGAAUGGAAUUCCCGGUGUAGCGGUGAAAUGCGCAGAUAUCGGAAGGAACACCAGUGGCGAAAGCGACUUCCUGGUCGAAUACUGACGUUCAUGUGCGAAAGCGUGGGGAGCAAACAG